Molecule: ribosomal RNA, 252 nt
Filed under: Veillonella dispar
Lineage: Bacteria; Bacillati; Bacillota; Negativicutes; Veillonellales; Veillonellaceae
Description: partial 16S ribosomal RNA
Rfam family: Bacterial small subunit ribosomal RNA
Source: RNAcentral
UACGUAGGUGGCAAGCGUUGUCCGGAAUUAUUGGGCGUAAAGCGCGCGCAGGCGGAUUGGUCAGUCGGUCUUAAAAGUUCGGGGCUUAACCCCGUGAUGGGAUGGAAACUGCCAAUCUAGAGUAUCGGAGAGGAAAGUGGAAUUCCUAGUGUAGCGGUGAAAUGCGUAGAUAUUAGGAAGAACACCAGUGGCGAAGGCGACUUUCUGGACGAAAACUGACGCUGAGGCGCGAAAGCCAGGGGAGCGAACGGG